CGUAGGGUGCGAGCGUUAAUCGGAAUUACUGGGCGUAAAGCGUGCGCAGGCUGUUCUGUAAGUCAGAUGUGAAAUCCCCGAGCUCAACUUGGGAACUGCGUUUGAAACUACAGGACUAGAAUAUGUCAGAGGGGGGUAGAAUUCCACGUGUAGCAGUGAAAUGCGUAGAGAUGUGGAGGAAUACCAAUGGCGAAGGCAGCCCCCUGGGAUAAUAUUGACGCUCAUGCACGAAAGCGUGGGGAGCAAACAGGAUUAGAUACCCUGGUAGUCCACGCCCUAAACGAUGUCUACUAGUUGUUGGUGGAGUAAAAUCCAUGAGUAACGCAGCUAACGCGUGAAGUAGACCGCCUGGGGAGUACGGUUGCAAGAUUA
This 372-nucleotide ribosomal RNA is filed under the name uncultured organism. RNAcentral describes it as "bacterial SSU rRNA". It matches the Rfam family "Bacterial small subunit ribosomal RNA", at positions 526 to 896 of the family's 1533-position model. The record is from RNAcentral.